UGGGGAAUAUUGCGCAAUGGGCGGAAGCCUGACGCAGCAACGCCGCGUGCGGGAUGACGGCCUUCGGGUUGUAAACCGCUUUCAGCAGGGACGAAGCUUUUGUGACGGUACCUGGAGGAGAAGCUGCGGCUAACUACGUGCCAGCAGCCGCGGUAAUACGUAGGCAGCGAGCGUUGUUCGGAGUUACUGGGCGUAAAGAGUGCGUAGGCGGCGAGCCAAGUUUGGUGUGAAAUCUCCCGGCUUAACCGGGAGGGUGCGCCGAGAACUUGUUGGCUGGAGUAUGGGGGAGGAAAGCGGAAUUCCUGGUGUAGCGGUGAAAUGCGUAGAUAUCAGGAGGAACACCUGCGGUGUAGACAGCUUUCUGGACCAAAACUGACGCUGAGGCACGAAAGCGUGGGUAGC
RNAcentral lists this ribosomal RNA (402 nucleotides) under uncultured bacterium. RNAcentral describes it as "bacterial SSU rRNA". It matches the Rfam family "Bacterial small subunit ribosomal RNA", at positions 355 to 769 of the family's 1533-position model. The record is from RNAcentral.